GAUGAACGCUGGCGGCGUGCCUAAUACAUGCAAGUCGAGCGAACAGACGAGGAGCUUGCUCCUCUGACGUUAGCGGCGGACGGGUGAGUAACACGUGGAUAACCUACCUAUAAGACUGGGAUAACUUCGGGAAACCGGAGCUAAUACCGGAUAAUAUAUUGAACCGCAUGGUUCAAUAGUGAAAGACGGUUUUGCUGUCACUUAUAGAUGGAUCCGCGCCGCAUUAGCUAGUUGGUAAGGUAACGGCUUACCAAGGCAACGAUGCGUAGCCGACCUGAGAGGGUGAUCGGCCACACUGGAACUGAGACACGGUCCAGACUCCUACGGGAGGCAGCGGUAGGGAAUCUUCCGCAAUGGGCGAAAGCCUGACGGAGCGACGCCGCGUGAGUGAUGAAGGUCUUCGGAUCGUAAAACUCUGUUAUUAGGGAAGAACAAAUGUGUAAGUAACUAUGCACGUCUUGACGGUACCUAAUCAGAAAGCCACGGCUAACUACGUG
Molecule: ribosomal RNA, 497 nt
Filed under: uncultured bacterium
Lineage: Bacteria
Description: partial 16S ribosomal RNA
Rfam family: Bacterial small subunit ribosomal RNA
Source: RNAcentral